UUAGUUCGACAAAGCUAAACUCUGCGGGACUUGGUUUUCACAGUGUUUGGGGUUGUUUCUUUGCUUGCUCACUCCGUUGAAACAUCCAUAUCCUUGUGUCCGAAAGGUGCUCAGUCCGGGUAGUCACGCCCCUCCGGUCAGCCCCACCCAAUUCCACUAAAGCGAGAAAUCAGCCAGGCACCCGGAGAGCCCCUCCCCCACCCGGCGAGGCCUGGAAGGAAAAGGGAGCUCGGGAGAGGCCACAGACGGUGUCCUACUUUCUCGGGUCCCCAAGGAUCCUUUUUCUUAGUAAAAACCUGAAAGGACCAAAAACUAUAUAUCUCAAAUAAAAGCACAAGAAAUUCAACCAGCCGUAGAGAUUUUUGUAGGAGAACUUUUAGGGGACAACAGAAUUUGAGAUUUCACUAGGUGAGAAGUGGGAUUGGAUUUCAGUAGAAAAAAAUCCCGAGGGAACCAUUAGCGGAAACUAAGAAUGGGGAUGUAUUCCCCUCUAAAUGCAGUAGAGAAGAGUCAGGAGAGCUGGAAAGAGGCAGGCGCAAAAAAAAAAAAAAGUUCUGGGUGGAUCUGCCAGUUCAUGGCCGCCUCACCUGCGUUUCAAUCAUUGUCUCUGUGAACAAGCCCCUCUUGGGUUUCCUGCCAGAAAAAUAUUUGGCAAGUUUCGCUUGAAUUUAUACAGGACACACUUUUGAACAUGUAAACAAUAUACAAGGCCAACUUGUUUUGGGAGCUACGAAUGACAAAAGUCUCGAAAUCCAAAUCUGUGCCAAGUUAGUUUUGCCCUUAAAAAAAAAGUGCUUAUGAAAUACUCGAAUCUCUUCAGUUAGCACAAAUACAAUGGGUGACCUAAAAGUUCAAGUAAUGGCCCAGAGUGAGGGGAAGUGUAUGUAAUGUUGACUCCGGUUUACAGAAAGUGAAUCUGAGUCAUGACAAGAUCCUGAAAUUCUGCACGAUCUCAUUCUGCCUGUAAAUGCCCUGGACUCAAUGGUAAGCAAACGUGAACUCUGGCCAGGCAGGCAGAAGCACUUUGUUUUCCAUUGUGUGGCGACACCAGCCUCCCAUUGCUUCUGACAAAGGCCUUCGUCAAGCCGGUGUGUCAUCGUUUGCGUUUGCCACGGCCGCAGCUCGCCGGCUGCGCGCGAAGACCCGCUCCCCGACUUGCCAGUAACUCUGGUCUCCCCGGGCGCGAGGCCAGGCCGGCCGGUCCACGCGGGAUGCAGCGCCACCUGCUGGAAGCCGAGUGAUAGAGCCGCAGACGGGACUAGACCGCGGAGACCAAAAAGACCAGCGCUGGGUGCCCUGUUGGCUUCGGGGCGACAGCCAGGCCUGACUGGAAGGAGAACAAAAACAGUAGCAGAAAUACGCACCGUUUAUCCAAACCAAUCCUCCAGGCUACAUGCCAUCCUUUCCUCUCUGCGGAGUGUGGUGUGGUGUGUGUCCACGCGCCCCUGUCGGGAGCUAUAUCAUGGUUGGACAUUUGGGUGUGUCUGUCUGUGAUCUCCUCCUCCUCCUCCUCCUUGCUGGAUUUGAAGGAAUUCUACAGCUGACAGAAGCCUCUCCAUCAAUUAUCC
Equus caballus (horse) is the source of this 1568-nucleotide long non-coding RNA. The record is from Ensembl. Lineage: Eukaryota; Metazoa; Chordata; Mammalia; Perissodactyla; Equidae.